CUGCCCCUGUGGCAUGUGGAGGUUCCCAGGCUAGGGGCUGAAUUGGAGCUGCAGCUGCUGGCCUAUGCCACAGCAAUGCCAGAUCCACGCUGCAUCUGUGACCUAUACCAAAGCUCAGGGCAACACUGGAUCCUUAACCCACUAGGCAAAGCCAGAGAUGGAACCCACAUCCUCAGGCAUACUAGUCGAGGUUGGUUACCAACAGAGUCACAACGGGAACUCCUAUCUGUCACUUCUGCCUUCCGGGUCUCUCAUCUAUAAAAGGGCUCAGAGUGGGACAACAAUAUGAAUAUUUUCCGUUUCUAUAAAUAUUAUGCCACAGGUUUCUAAACUUUUUCACACACUUUAGUUCAUGUGUUCCUUCUCAUAACCUUUUGAAGUGAUCAGGCCAGGGACUCUCAUUCCCAUUUCACAGAUGGGAGAACUGAAGCACAGGAGAUUGGGCUGUUCAGACUCAGAGAAUUUUCUGGAGGUUGAGCCUGCGCUAGAAACUAGUAUGGUGUUUUCCACUUCACGGUGUUCUCUUUGUGACCAGGUGCUUUCACAUCCAUCGGGGCCUUUCUUAGAAACCCAUCAGCAUUUCUAGUUAGCUGGUAAACCUACCAUGGAUAGAUUUUGUCAGGCUCGGAGGGGGGUAUGAAGAACACAGUUCCCCUGGCCCCCAGCACCCUAGACUGGGUCCUCCCAAUCGCAGCAUAGAUCCGUUUCUAAGUACAAACAACGUCCUUAUUCCCAGAGCUUGGGGUUGGUUUUACCAGGAGAGCACACGGGAGGGGGUUAGGGCCAAUUGCAGAGUUAGAGGGUGCCAACCCAAGACUGUCUUCACGUCUGUUGCCAACUGCAAAGCUCAAGUGGUUACCCAAACCCUGGUUUGGAAUUCUCUAGAAAGACUCACAGAACUCACUGUACACAGGUAUACGCGUAGUUACAGUAACUGGGAAAGGAUCCAGGUUAAGAUCAGCCAAAGAAAGAGACACAAAGUCCAGGAGUGUUUCGGAUGCGGGGCUUGCGGGGUCUUCUUUUCUCCCUGAGGAGUCAGACUCCUGUGACCUCAAUGUGUGACACCAACACAUGACCCUAUGCACAGAGCAUGGCCAACCAGGGAAGCUCAUCCCAGCCUCAGGGUUCAGGUUUUUGUUGUUGUUGUUGCUUUUUAUGGUCGCAUUGGCAGCAUAUGGAGGUUCCUAGGCAGGGGUCAAAUCGGAGUGACAGCUGCCAGCCUAUAUCACAGCUACAGCAACGCCAGAUCUGAGCCACAUCUGCGACCUACACCACAGCUCUCGGCAAUGCCAGAUCCUUAACCCACUGAGCGAGGCCAGGGAUCAAACUCGAGUCCUCGUGGAGGCUAGUUGGGUUUGUUACUGCUAAGCCACUACGGGGACUCCCUCAGUGUCCCAUUUUUCACGUCCAUUACAUGGAUGUGAUCCGAUGGUCAUGCGUGUGACUAAUCUCAGUGUUCAGGCCCCAAGAGAGACCCAAAGCCCAUCCUUCCGCCUUGAAUAAGCACCAUGUUCAGGCUCCGAGUCCUGUGGGGGGGUCUCUCUGGUGUGCCCGCCCCCCCACCCUAAAUCACCUGCUUAGACUACCCACUGCCCCCAGGAGAAGAAAGACCUCAGAAAUUACCUCCCAGAAGCGGAGGACAAAGGUCCAGACCUCUUUUGAUGGAGGUUAAUGCUUCACUACGUGGCCUGGCCGGCUGGCAGCUCUUUACUCCCCGUGUAGUUAAGAAGAGAGCUCAAGGGCUUCUUUGAAGAGAGAGUUGGCCUUGCCUGAAAGGCUCUUCUCUUUAGUUCUCUGAGGGAAAAUGAGCUCACCCCAUCUGGAAAACAGUCCUCAACCAAUCAGUAGCACAGACAGCGUACUCGGGUGGCCUCGCUUCUUUAAUCAGCAACUGAAUCACGCUGAGGAAAUUGCCCUUAAGGUGUCAUCCAAAUUGUAUGGAGACCCAAAUGUUUCAUUUAAAUGUAAAACAAAGAGGGUCUCUUCCAAUCAUGCUGCUCUCUCCUUAGCACUCAAAACUCAAAUCCCACUGAGAAGUUACCCUACAUCAGCUUCCCAGCCAGCAAAACUCCCAUCAGAGAAAGCCAACUAUUGUGAAAUGUUUCUCCAGUGCAUUUCAGACCCCAAGACUAUCAGUUGAUGGCCAAGAAGUUGCUUGGUGACGGGCACUAGAAUAGCAUCAUAGAGAUUAAUAAUCCCUCAAGAAAGCCAUCAGAAUGCUGUGGUUCCAUGAAGCAGGCUUGCUUAACUAUAAGACCAUAAAUCAAGGUAUGGUUUAUGCCUCAGGUCAUUAAGUGAAAGAUAAAAUGAGGCCUACAUCCAAGUUCAGUGAGAUAACGAUUCCUCGGACCGAGGAGAGGAACUUAAGGGAAAGAGGCUACUCCCAAGUGCAAGAGCCAUUGUAUGGAAACCUGAGGUGAUUCAACAUAGUUUAGCAUAUGUUACCAUCCUUCUACUGACCUGAAUAAGCACGAGGACAGUCCUAGUUUGACCUCAUCAGGUCAAAUACUCCUUACCCAAUACAAAGGAGGCCCUAGUGACAGAAGGCUGAUGUCUAUUUGAAGAAUGAGACAGAAGGUCAUUCUUUCCCACACUCCCCACUCUCCUUGGAUUAUAAAAAUGUAGCACAUCUAAUUCUGGGGGCAGAGCCUCCUCACCUGACCCCUUGUAUCCCUCCCAAGCGACCUAUCUUAAUAAAUCUACUUCUUGCCUAUCACUUUGUCCUUCGCCAGAUUCCUUCUGCUCUGAGACACAAAAAACCUGUGCCUCAGUAAGUCCAAACACCAAGUGAGUGAUUCUAAUAAAACAAAACUGUGGGUUCAAGUCCCAAUCUGGGUUUAGUCUGGGUUCAUGUCAGAGGUUUCAGUCUGACAGUCUAGAAGGGCAGGGAAACAUACACACAAAUAACCUGAGGAUGGAGGAUGACAGGCUGGUGCCACACAGACUUAUAGGGAAGGGCAAAGAGGAGUUACCCCUCAGAGCCUGGGACACAGGCCAUGCCUUGUCCUUUACGAGGCAGAGACGCCUUUAUCUGUGACCUGGCCCAGGAACACUGAUUUUCCUUUGAAACGGAAACAGAGCCCAGAACCUUGUCGGGCCCCCCUGGGUACAAAAUCACCUCGGUGCCCUCUGUUUCUUCUUUGUAGAAAAAGACUUAGUCUCCUAUGUCUUUCCUGAGUUCCAAAGAGCAGACUUAAGCAGUUACUAAUUAGGGAAGUGAGGAAUGCAGAAACGGAGGAAAGGCAGUCAAGAAACAAGAGUUCAGUGAUACAACAAGUCCUAGUUCCUCCUCAAGGGAUAUAGAUAACAAUCUGACACAUAUCUGAGCUGUUCUUCAGGAACUAAGCCCCCUACCCCACCCCACCCCCCGCCCCACCUAGGUAGAGGAUGGUGGCUGCAUGCUGGCCACAACACAUAGACCCCAGACUAGUUGGAACCAGAGGGUUGAUGAUUAAUAUUCCCAAAACAUCACCCUGUUACCUCACCAAGACCAACCAAUCAGAAGAAAGUUACCCCACCCCCUGCAUCCUUUACCCCAAAUGUUGCUUUUAAAAGCCCUUCCCUGAAAACCUUCUGGGAGUCUUUUGAGCCUGAGCUGCCUGUUCUUGCUUGAUGCCUGCAGUAAAUGCCAUACUUUCCUUCACCACAACCUGGGGUCUGUAAAUUGGCUUUCCUGUGCAGGAUGUGAGUGGACCCAAGUUUGGUUUGGUAACAAAAUCAGGCCUCUUUUUGGAAGUUCCAGCUGAAAGUUCCAAAAUGAACCACUUCUAUUCCAUGGGAUGUCUUUCCAUGUGGGUCAGGUUCUCUUAGUUAUGCCUUUCUUCUGGACUUCUCAGGGUGUCAACAACACCUGCGGUGGAGGGCUCAGUGCACAAAUGCAGCAGGGUUGAAUGAAGCCCUGAAUCUUUCUCAGUUGAGCUGCCUCACAGCUGUGAUAUUUGGGCAGCCAUGAGAGACAGGUUCAUGUUUCAGAAAAACAAGACCCAGCACUGAGCAGUUAGCAAAGAUGCUCCCUUCUCUGCUGGCUUAACGGAUGGUAAAAUUAAGAUCGAGGGUAAAGAAAGAAUUGUUUUACUUAUUAAAUUCCUCAUUGUAAUUGUAACCAAGCAGGGCUCUGUGGGGCUCCUGGGCAUACAAGACUUUCUGUGUCCUCCAUUUCUUGUUUCUAGGGAAUAAGUUUCAGCCCCCAGGACCUUCCCUGAGUUCCAAAGGGCAGAUUCAAACAGUUGCUAAUCAGGGAAGUGAGGGGAUGCAGAGAUCAGGGAGGAGCCCUCAAGAGACGGGAGUGCAGCCUUGGGUCAGGGUCCUGGUUCCUCUUCAGGGAACACCCGUAAGAGUGUCUUUGAGCCCUUCUAAAGACCUAAAACCCCCAACAAAUGAAAGUUGGAGCAUUCUAAUUUCCAGAAAGAAGGAAGACCACCAGGACCAGUCCUGGGGCCACUAAACACCAGCUUUGAGAAACAAUGCAAGCUUGCCUCUAACUUGAUCCUUACCUGCAGCCCUAUUUUCCACUCCCUAAACUACAAAACCACCUCCUAACCUCUCCCAAAGGAGGGCACAGUCUUUAAGGCAUUACCCUGCUGUGGCCUCCUUUGCCUAGAAAAGCAAUAAAGCAAUUUUUUUUUCUCAUUCAGUCCAAACUCUUUAUAUUCAGCACUGGUGGAAAGAGGCCGAGUUUUUGCAACAGAAUUUGCAUGGUAGACAACCAUUUUUAAAAAACCAAAAAAAUGGUUUCAUUUUGCUAGUAACAUAAAAUGUGGUUAGAGUGGGUGUAAGUCUGUGAGGAGCUACUGUUAGUAUUAAAAACGAGAGACCCAGAAGCCCUUGUCCAUAUGCAAAUUGUAGGAAGUCACUUAGCUGCUGCCUCAGUUUUUCCCAUCUGUGAAACGCAGCCCUGAGCUCUGGCCACCUACCCCACCCCCGCAUCAACCAGCCCCAUUGACUUUCUGAUAC
This 4953-nucleotide long non-coding RNA is filed under the name Sus scrofa (pig). RNAcentral describes it as "lncRNA (ENSSSCG00040011919.1)". Lineage: Eukaryota; Metazoa; Chordata; Mammalia; Artiodactyla; Suidae. The record is from RNAcentral.